CCUACGGGUGACAGCAGUAGGGAAUUUUCGGCAAUGGGGGGAACCCUGACCGAGCAACGCCGCGUGAACGAAGAAGUUAUUCGUAAUGUAAAGUUCUUUUAACAGGGAAGAAAGAGAAAUUUGACGGUACCUGAAGAAUAAGCUCCGGCUAACUACGUGCCAGCAGACGUGGUAAUCCGUAGGGAGCGAGCGUAAUCCGGGAUAAUUGGGCGUAAAGGGUGCGUAGAGGGCAUAGUAAGUCUUUUGUAAAAAUGCUGGGCUAAACCCAGUAGGGCAAAAGAUACUGGAAAGCUAGAGUAUGAUAGAGGUAGGUGGAACUACAUGUGUAGCGGUAAAAUGCGUAGAUAUAUGUAAGAACACCAAUGGCGAAGGCAGCUUGCUGGGUCGAUACUGACAUUGAGGCACGAAAGCGUGGGGAGCAAACAGGAUUAGAUACCCCUGUAGUC
RNAcentral lists this ribosomal RNA (446 nucleotides) under uncultured bacterium. RNAcentral's name for it is "partial 16S ribosomal RNA". It matches the Rfam family "Bacterial small subunit ribosomal RNA", at positions 338 to 795 of the family's 1533-position model. The record is from RNAcentral.